GGCCGAUGAUGCAGUACCAGUCACUUCAACAAUCGUCUCCUUGAUUUCUUCCACCGUCUUAGCACUAUCCUCCUCCUUCGCUGCUACCUUCUCGGUCACUUUCUCCGCCGGAGCUGCAGGUUCACCUUCUUUCUUCUCUUCCACCACAGGUGCAGCUUCUUUCUUCUCUUCCACCACAGGUUCAGCUUCUUUCUUCUCUUCCACCACAGGUUCAGCUUCUUUCUUCACUUCCACCACAGGUACAGCUUCUUUCUUCUCAACAGGUUCAGCUUCUUUCUUCGAUUCCACCACAGGUACAGUUUCUUUCUUCUCCUCCACCACAGGUUCAGCUUCUUUCUUCUCUUCCACCACAAGUGCAGUUUCUUUCUUCUCUUCGACCACAGGUGCAGUGAAUUCAUGUUUGUUCAGAGCAUCUCGAACCAAUUCCUUCAACUCAGCUAAAGCCUUCUGUUCAGGAUUUGGUAAUUCUUCAACUUUGUUGCUCUCUUCCUUAAACGAUGAAGCUGAUUCAAUAACUGGAGUUGAUUUCCCC
Molecule: long non-coding RNA, 532 nt
Filed under: Capsicum annuum
Lineage: Eukaryota; Viridiplantae; Streptophyta; Magnoliopsida; Solanales; Solanaceae
Description: long non-coding RNA (CANN_LNC013415)
Source: RNAcentral